UGAGGAAUAUUGGUCAAUGGACGGAAGUCUGAACCAGCCAAGUAGCGUGCAGGAUGACGGCCCUAUGGGUUGUAAACUGCUUUUGUAUGGGGAUAAAGUUAGGGACGUGUCCCUAUUUGCAGGUACCAUACGAAUAAGGACCGGCUAAUUCCGUGCCAGCAGCCGCGGUAAUACGGAAGGUCCAGGCGUUAUCCGGAUUUAUUGGGUUUAAAGGGAGCGUAGGCUGGAGAUUAAGUGUGUUGUGAAAUGUAGACGCUCAACGUCUGAAUUGCAGCGCAUACUGGUUUCCUUGAGUACGCACAACGUUGGCGGAAUUCGUCGUGUAGCGGUGAAAUGCUUAGAUAUGACGAAGAACUCCGAUUGCGAAGGCAGCUGACGGGAGCGCAACUGACGCUUAAGCUCGAAGGNGCGGGUAUCAAACAGGAUUAGAUACCCUGGUAGUCCGCACAGUAAACGAUGGAUGCCCGCUGUUGGUACCUGGUAUCAGCGGCUAAGCGAAAGCAUUAAGCAUCCCACCUGGGGAGUACNCCGGCNACGGU
Molecule: ribosomal RNA, 539 nt
Filed under: uncultured bacterium
Lineage: Bacteria
Description: bacterial SSU rRNA
Rfam family: Bacterial small subunit ribosomal RNA
Source: RNAcentral